Molecule: long non-coding RNA, 2969 nt
Organism: Cyprinodon variegatus (sheepshead minnow)
Lineage: Eukaryota; Metazoa; Chordata; Actinopteri; Cyprinodontiformes; Cyprinodontidae
Exons: 3
Source: RefSeq, a predicted model, not a curated record
UAGGAGUUGGAAUAUUUCUGCAAGAUUCUCAAUGUGAUAAUACUUCCUGUUUUUACAGCUACCUGCCAUGCUGAAAUUUCCAACAAAGCUGGAACAAGACAUCAUUGGGUCACGCUUGGAGUUUUUACAGCCUUCUUUGUUUUUGGUGGGAUUCUUUUCACAAGAUACUGCAGAUAAAACCAGCAUGUCACUCCAGUCCCUGUUGAUCAAACUCACUCUUCAUCCUACUCAUCCGUCAUAGUAAUGAGCUAAGCUGGUUUUUGUGUUUUUUAACACCAAAAUUAAGCUUCUGUGAUUUACCAAUCAUGAUUUACCUAUUUGCUUGGUUUAAAGAAGGUGCAUCUUAUUGAAGCUACUGUAGAGAUAUAAAAUAGUGAAAUUAAAGCAACAGUCCAUAGAGUCGGCUUUCUCCGGUUUUAUACCGUACGACAAAAAAGCGAAGAGAUAUAGCAACAUAAUCUCUGCCGUAGCAUUCUGUCUUUUUUUUCUUUAUUGUCAUACGUACAGUGUCACAAGUACGAUAGCAUUCUGUCUUUUUUUUCUUUAUUGUCAUUACACAAGUACAGAGCAACGAAAUGAACUCUCUGCAUUUAACUCAUCCCCUGGGAGCAGUUUGGGGUUAAGGGUCUUUGCUGAGGGACCCAGAGUAUUAAUCUGUGGGAGUGGGGCUUGAACUCAGAACCUCAGGAUUCCAAAUGCAAUGCCCUAACCACUAGGCCAUCACUCCCCACAUCAGGUAUGAGUGUGAAGGGUAUUGCUUAAGGACGCACACCGGCAGCUCAUUCCCCCCAGCCGGGAUACGAACCCAGGCUUCCUAUUUGCAAGACGGGUGACUCAUCCUCUGCAUUGCUCCGGUGUACUGCAUAAUAAGUACCGUUCGCUGACUGAUUGCACCACUUGAGCUGCUAUAUUUGCCUAACAUGGGACUAACUGUCUCAAUAAAGACAUGCUACUAGUUAACACGGUCGAAAAUGAAGGAUACAAGUGGUUCAUUAAGGUACUCGACCCUUGUUACCAACACCCUAGGCGUAAAUCUUUCUCUCAGACAGAAAUUCCAAAGCUUUAUUCAGAUUACCGAUAGAUGUUUGAGAACAAGCUACAAAGUGUGUCAUAUUCUUUUGUUUGUUGUCUUUGAAAGGCACUUGAAUAUGCACCAAGGCUUUAAACAAGAUAUAUUUUUUUAUUCUGUUGGAUUUGUAACUCUUUUUGUUUUUAACAACUUAAACAAAACUAUAUGAGAGACUGAGACUCUUUUUAUUUGAUGCUGAUGGAAUUGUUAUACUGUUUGUCCAUUUAGUUAGUUCCCCUGUUACAUUUGGAGGUGUUAAGAUUUACAUUUACAUUGUUUAUUAUCUCAUAAUUAAAGAAAGUAGCAUAUUAUUUUGUUGUCUUUAAAAGCUGCCUUAAUUUGCACUGAAUAUGAAAAAGUGUUUUUUUAUUAUUCUGUUUUAUGUCUUAUAAAAAACAAACUAUUGAAACAAACUAUUCCUUUUUUGUUGCAAGUUUAUUUAACGAGUUCAUAGGCUUUGUUCUUUGGAUGUAUGUUCCUUCAGUAUCUCUUAUGUUUAACAAAAAAAAAAAAUUAAAUCAAACAAUUUCAUUUGAUUUCAUUUCGCACUAAUAAGCUGAGGAACAUUUAAAGUUGUCAAAUGUUGUGAUUGGUUUUAUAUCGUGAUGUAUAAAUGAAAAACAAUAUCUUGAUACUUGAAAAUCCUAUAUUGUCCAGCCCUAUGUAUAGAGUUAGAAAAAACAGUUAUUUCAUUUGAUUUAAAUGGUAGGUUUAAUAUUAUGUUCACUUGUCAAAAAUAAUAUUAAAAUAGUAGUAAUAUUAAAACUGAAAGUUUUAUUGAUGGUUUUGCAUUUUUAAAAAAGUGUUUUGAUAUAUGUCAUUGGAGCAAAAUUAUGCAGGAUGGAAAUAUCUUAACAUCAAUUCAGUUUGCUUUUAUUUACAUAGCACAACUAACUAAAGGUCAUCUCAAGGCACUUUAAGAAGUCAAAGACAUUAAAUCCUCCAGAAAUAUUGGUCAAUAAGUUUCCCUCCCUAAGGAGACCCAGCAGAUUACAUCAAGCUUUCACAAGAAGUAUUCACAAUCACAUUACGCAAUUUAAAACUGGAAAAGCUUGAAAACUUACCUUGAAACUCCUUGAAAAGUACUUGAGUUUGAAGAGGGGUGGAACAACCUACCUCAGGGCCUUUGCCAUCAUCCCAAAGCCCCUCUGUUUCCGUCUUCUGUUUUGACAUUUCGGAGGUGACAGUGGCAUAGGAUGCAGGAGUUUGUUCUUCAGCUGGAGGACUCCCAGUUUGAACUCCAGGUCUGUUCAUCUCAGUUGUUGUGUUAUUGGCCAAAAACUCUACUGGAUGGAUGGAUGGAUAGAUAAUUUGGGUAUUUAUAAACUUUUUCGCCAUAGUUCCUAAAAAGUGUUUUAGUGCAGCAAUAAUGAACAGAGCUUGCUGACCCUCCCUUCUACAUAACAAUCAAUUCUUCCGGCUUUUUCUUUUUUAACCUUUGGAGUUUAACUCCCUUGAUAUUUAUUUAUUUUUCAUACGCAGAAUGAACAUUGACCAAAUCUAUGCAUGCGCAUUUAUAGUAAUAUUUGUGCUUUUGAGACGGCACCAGACCGAGACAGAGGGUUUAUCUUAUGAGCACACGCACACGCAGUGCGAAUGUUACUUUUUUUAACCUGCCGUCACCAUCCAGCGGCUACUCUGCAAACCCCCAACUGGGGGGAUUUUUUUGGAAAUUAGUUAAGAUUAGUCAACUAAUCGAAAGAUUAGUUGUUAAAAAAUUAGUAUUAUAAAGCUUUAAAGUCUGCUGACUUAAAAAAACAGCAAAUAGUUAGUAGGCUUUUUUUUUAUAUGUCUUUUAUUUUCUUAUAUGUAAAUUGUAAAUAAAUGUCAAUGUAUUCUCUUUGUUCUGUAUUUAUCUUAACAUGUGAUUAAACCAGUGCAACAUUUGCUUAUAUAACAA